RNAcentral lists this transfer RNA (68 nucleotides) under Marmota monax (woodchuck). RNAcentral describes it as "tRNA.Ala". Lineage: Eukaryota; Metazoa; Chordata; Mammalia; Rodentia; Sciuridae. The record is from RNAcentral.
GGAUUGUGGCUCAGCGGUAGAGCACUUGCCUAGCAUGAGCAAGGCCCUGGGUUCAAUCCUUAGCACCA